UAAAGUGGCGCACGGGUGAGUAACACGUGACUAACCUACCCUCGAGUGGGGAAUAACCUAGAGAAAUCUGGGCUAAUACCGCAUAACACUUACGAGUCAAAGCAGAAAUGCGCUUGAGGAGGGGGUCGCGGCAGAUUAGCUAGUUGGCGGGGUAAUGGCCCACCAAGGCAAUGAUCUGUAUCCGGCCCGAGAGGGCGCACGGACACACUGGAACUGAAACACGGUCCAG
Molecule: ribosomal RNA, 229 nt
Filed under: uncultured bacterium
Lineage: Bacteria
Description: partial 16S ribosomal RNA
Rfam family: Bacterial small subunit ribosomal RNA
Source: RNAcentral